RNAcentral lists this ribosomal RNA (231 nucleotides) under uncultured bacterium. RNAcentral describes it as "partial 16S ribosomal RNA". It matches the Rfam family "Bacterial small subunit ribosomal RNA", at positions 103 to 334 of the family's 1533-position model. The record is from RNAcentral.
CGGGUGAGUAACGCGUGGAUAACCUGCCUCACACUGGGGGAUAACAGUUAGAAAUGGCUGCUAAUACCGCAUAAGCGCACAGUACCGCAUGGUACGGUGUGAAAAACCCAGGUGGUGUGAGAUGGAUCCGCGUCUGAUUAGCCAGUUGGCGGGGUAACGGCCCACCAAAGCGACGAUCAGUAGCCGACCUGAGAGGGUGACCGGCCACAUUGGGACUGAGACACGGCCCAA